Molecule: ribosomal RNA, 211 nt
Filed under: Enterococcus hirae
Lineage: Bacteria; Bacillati; Bacillota; Bacilli; Lactobacillales; Enterococcaceae
Description: partial 16S ribosomal RNA
Rfam family: Bacterial small subunit ribosomal RNA
Source: RNAcentral
UUUUAUGAGAGUUUGAUCCUGGCUCAGGACGAACGCUGGCGGCGUGCCUAAUACAUGCAAGUCGAACGCCUCUUUUUCCACCGGAGCUUGCUCCACCGGAAAAAGAGGAGUGGCGAACGGGUGAGUAACACGUGGGUAACCUGCCCAUCAGAAGGGGAUAACACUUGGAAACAGGUGCUAAUACCGUAUAACAAUCGAAACCGCAUGGUUU